GCCCUAAUAGAGCGUACAUUCAAAUGAGUCAGUCAGCCUAAGGAAGGAAUAUCAGUGAAGCUCAGCCAAUCCAAAUAAUGUCUAAUUGGUAACUGGUUAUUUCAGCAAUAGGCUUAUGCAAAAUGCCAAGCCAAUUAGACCUGUGGAGACUCAGUUACAAAGAUUUGCAAGACAUGGAAUCAGCAUAGAAAAAAGCAGGACUGAAUGAAGAGUCACCAUUUUGAUUAGAUUGUUUAAAUUUCCAGCAUUAAUUCUAAAGCAUGUAUCUACUUGUGUAUUUCUUAAAUAUGAAAGAGAAGAAGAGUAGAAGAGUGAGAAGUGGCUCUGAAAAUCAGAAGGCCUAAGACCUAUGACAGAAUUAAUGGAUUUGGAGGUUUUCACGCUUUCCUCAGAUAAUCACUACGAGUUUUUGGCAGUGCCUCUCUGCAAGAGGCUCUGGGUCUGUGUUGCUGAAUUGGCCUGUGUCCUCAAAGCACGUUCCAGCUUUCAAGGGGAAAAUGACAAGGUGGAAGAUGAGCAAUGGACUGAAUUGCCUAAGUAACCCAGGCUAACAGAAGCUCCAUCUACUUGCGGCUACAACAGAAGAACAAGUGGCCUCCAACGCCGUGGUAGUGGCGGAAGAGAGAUCCUGAAGAAAUCUCACAGGCUUUUUGCUUCUCAACAUGGAAAGGAGAGAUACAUGUCUUUUCUACCCUUUUCAUUGGCUGUAAUGAGUCACAUGUCUCUACUCCCCUUGAAGCUCAGAAGUGCAGUCUUUGUGUCCAAAGUGUCAGAAGAACUGGAUAUUGAUGAACAUUAGUAAUGCUUACCAUGUAUAUUAACCCAGGUGUACACAGAGCCAUGUAAAAUUUGAGUCUCGCACUAUGAAGUUCCAAUCCAGAUCCUAUGGCUGGGUUUUAGAAUGGCUAUAUCAAUAUAAAUAUUAAGAACCAAAGACCAUAUAUUACAGAUGCAAUUUAUUCUGAUCUAGUGCUUAGAGCAGGACCAACAACUGUGGCACAAGUUUUCUGAUUACAGUUCUGCAGGUUAGAUAGUCAACUUGCUACAGUUUUCUUCUCAUGGGCUUGAAGAUGAUCAUUUCAUACACAAUUCAGUCAAAUGUACUGACUUAUCUCUAUGAAAAAAAUCCAGUUAAUGUGUCAAGUAUCAUUUUGUCUAUGAAGUUUCCUGCUAAAUUUUAUACCAACUAUCUUGCAAUGGUUAUAAUUCCUUAAAAUGUGUCUCAAGGACAGAAAUUAAAUCCUGGUCAUCUUUAGGUUUUUGACAUAUAACAGUACUUACAUUUUUUUUUUUAACAAACAGCUUUUUGAAUGAGUAACUAAAUAACUGAAUAAGUGCCUAUCUAAAAAUAGUUACUUGUCAUCUGAAUCACUCUCAUUUACUGGCCAGUAUCACUCCAUUUUUGGGGAGAAAGAGGGGGCAGUACAUCAUGGUGGCUAGGAACAAGGACUUAGAAGGCAAGGUGAUGUGGAUUUGAUGCCUGGCUCUGCUACUUGCCAGCCAAAGGCCUGUGGGCAAGGUUGUAACUUUCUCUAAGACACAUCUGUAAAAUUCAAUCCAUAGUGUUCCCAUGAGACUAUUUUGAAGAUUUGCUGAGAUAAUUCUUACAAAGUGCUGAGCAUAGCACCUGGCAUCUAAAAGCCUUCAGUAAAUGUUAGCUAUUAUUAUUACUCUCUAACUGGACUUUUGCAACUAUUUCCUCAGGAUUUAGGCAGGAUAGUAAACACAAAUUGUAGUAUAUUUUACCCACAUCUAGUCCUUGCAAUAACUGUAUGUUGCUCUUAUUAUUUUAAUCUACAGAAAUUGAGUCCUGAAGUGGGUAAAAACUUACCCAAGAUCAUGCAGCUGGUUGGUGGUAGAGCUGAGGCUUGAACCCAGAACCAAUGAACUCCUUGUCUCAAUUACUUCUUUAAAACCACAAGGGGUAUCUUUUUGUUGCUAUUUCUGUGGAGACACUUUUAUCUUUAUUAACGUCUAUCUGUUUGCUGAGCUAACAAAAAUAACUAAAAUGGUUAUGAAACUGAGCCACUAAGACAAGUUUUUAUUUUAUUUCAGCUUAUAACUUUUUAAAUUCCAACUUGGAAGCCUAC
Pan paniscus (pygmy chimpanzee) is the source of this 2090-nucleotide long non-coding RNA. Lineage: Eukaryota; Metazoa; Chordata; Mammalia; Primates; Hominidae. The record is from Ensembl.